CUGGGGCUUCUCCAUUGAAAUCAAAAUUAUGACUGGUGUAUUAUAUAAAGUUACACAUCACAACAUUUCAGUACACUUAUUAAAAUGUUUUCUGACUUUAACCUAGGAGGCAGGUAGUCUAGCAGUUAAUGCAUUGCUAGUAACAUAGGAUGCACAUUUUAAUCUAGAGCUGACAAAAUCAGUCUUUGUCCUUGAGCAAGGCACUUGGAUUGAAAUUGAUAAUGGCUGUGACCCCACAUUUUACAGGUGUCUCAGAGGGAGUUAGAAUGUGUAAAAUGGUACAUACACUGCAUGAAGCAGAAUAUAUUUUUUCUUCAUUAAUUGAUUAUUCGUCCAAAUACAUCUCUAAUCACAUACACUGCCUUCCAAAAGUUUGGGGUCACUUAGAGAAAAAUAAAUUCAAAUAAUAAUCGUUUAGAAAUACAGUGCAGAUAUUGUUGAUGUAAACGAGUAUUGUAGCUGAAAACAGUUGAUUUUUUUUAUGGAAUAUCUACAUAGGCGUACAGAGGCCCAUUAUCAGCAAGCAUCACUCCUGUGUUCGAAUGGCACGUUGUUUGCUAAUCAAAUGUAAUACUUUUUAAAGGCUAAUUGAUCAUUAGAAAACCCUUUUGCAAUUAUGUUCUUCAUUUUCAGCUGAAAACUGUUGUGCUGACUAAAGAAACAAUAAAACUGGCCUUUAGACUAGUUAAGUAUCUGGAGCAUUAGUAAUUGUGGGUUCCAUUAUAGGCUCAAAAAGGCCAAAAACAAAGAACAUUCUCCUGAAACUCAGCCUAUUCUUGUUUUCCAAGAAAUGAAGGCAAUUCCAUGUGAGAACUUGUGGUAGGGGAUUUCCUAUUCAAUGGAAAACAAGGACAUUUCUAAGUGACCCCAAACUUCUGAAUGGUAGUGUAUGAUCUAUUUAGUUUUUCGAGCUGAUAUGAUUAAAAGUACAAUUAGUGAAGAAAAGCUAAGCAUUAGGCUGUCUGUUUAAAAAUAGGCAUAAUCACCCACCAAACAAGCCAGUCUGUAGAUGUGUGGUGGUUACUCAAGGCUUCAGAGGGCAGACAGGUACUCCAAUGUCAUAAUGCCAAUAUCUCUCCAUACCAGUGCUUAUGAAUUAACUUAAAUAGUAAUAAUGAUAACUAACAACAAAAUAUUUAAAACAAUUCAAGUAGAUGUGUUUUAAAAAGCAUGCAGACUUGGUAACACCUUUAACGGUACCAUAGUGGGGAUUGAAGCAAUAGCAAGAAAUACAUCAUGUACUUUUUCUUUAUCAUUAUUAUGAAUAGCUUGAGUAACAUUCAUUUAAAUUGUAACAGAAAAAAAAUGUAGGCAUUUUUUCCAUGUACAUUUCAUGUAGGGUUUUGUUGGUAUCUUCCGGGACCAACCCCAGAAUUUCCAAAUAAUUGAUAGAAUUGCCUUAAGACAGGCUAAACAACUCUAUUUCAAUAUAAAAUGUCAAUUUAAGCAUAGAAAUAUGAUACAAAUGUUUAUGUCUCUUUUUGGAAGAUGGGAUGUAUGUCUGACAGGCCACCACUGUCCACAAAGAUAAUCAUGAGAGUGACAAACACUGACAAAAGCCCUCUUCCACCAAUCAGUGAUGUGCAAAUCAGUAACACCCAUCACACACGGUCUGGGUUCCUGUUAACCUGUUGGGAGAGGAGGGGAAAGAGGAGCUGUACGGGCUGAUCCACAGUGAGAACAGGGGGAAGUUUAGAGGUCGGUACCCUGGAGUUUCUCCAUGGCCUUGGCGAGUUUCAUCUCAUGUCUGCGCAGGUGGUUGACCAGUGACUGUACGUAGGUAAACACACAUUUGGAGUCAGGCUUCUUCCCCAUGAUCAUCAUGUCCUCCACCUCCAGCAGGGGCAUGCAGUUGGCAAAGUCCCUAGAGGACACAAAUGGAGAGCUG
Molecule: long non-coding RNA, 1888 nt
Organism: Esox lucius (northern pike)
Lineage: Eukaryota; Metazoa; Chordata; Actinopteri; Esociformes; Esocidae
Source: Ensembl